RNAcentral lists this ribosomal RNA (253 nucleotides) under uncultured bacterium. RNAcentral describes it as "partial 16S ribosomal RNA". It matches the Rfam family "Bacterial small subunit ribosomal RNA", at positions 524 to 776 of the family's 1533-position model. The record is from RNAcentral.
GACGAAGGUGACGACCGUUGCUCGGAAUCACUGGGCAUAAAGCGCGCGUAGGUGGCUGGGCAAGUCUAUGGUGAAAUCCCUCGGCUCAACCGAGGAACUGCCGUGGAAACUGCCUGGCUUGAGGACGGGAGGGGUGAGUGGAACUCUCGGUGUAGCGGUGAAAUGCGUAGAUAUCGAGAGGAACGCCGGUGGCGAAAGCGACUCACUGGACCGUAACUGACACUGAGGCGCGAAAGCUAGGGGAGCAAACAGG